This 505-nucleotide ribosomal RNA is filed under the name uncultured bacterium. Its description in RNAcentral is "partial 16S ribosomal RNA". It matches the Rfam family "Bacterial small subunit ribosomal RNA", at positions 28 to 507 of the family's 1533-position model. The record is from RNAcentral.
GACGAACGCUGGCGGCGUGCCUAAUACAUGCAAGUAGAACGCACAGUUUAUACCGUAGCUUGCUACACCAUAGACUGUGAGUUGCGAACGGGUGAGUAACGCGUAGGUAACCUGCCUGGUAGCGGGGGAUAACUAUUGGAAACGAUAGCUAAUACCGCAUAAUAUUGAUUAUUGCAUGAUAAUUGAUUGAAAGAUGCUAUUGCAUCACUACCAGAUGGACCUGCGUUGUAUUAGCUAGUAGGUGAGGUAACGGCUCACCUAGGCGACGAUACAUAGCCGACCUGGGAGGGUGGUCGGCCACACUGGGACUGGGACACGGGCCAGACUCCUUCGGGAGGCAGCAGGAGGGAAUCUUCGGCAAUGGACGAAAGUCUGACCGGGCAACGCCGCGUGAGUGAAGGAGGUUUUCGGAUCGUAAAGCUCUGUUGUAAGAGAAGGACGGGUGUGAGAGUGGAAAGUUCACACUGUGACGGUAUCUUACCAGAAAGGGACGGCUAACUACGUG